GCUGCUUCUGUCCAUUGGAAAUGACAGUUUGACACUGGACACUCAAUUGGCAUACUCUCUCCUGGAGAAGACUACCUCUCCUACUCCUGACUUCCUGACUUGCUUAUAGUUCUUUGUGAGAGUGCACAGCACUGCUGUCAAGACUCAUUUCAGCCUCUGCAAUUUACCUGCUGUGCUUAUUUUAUGGAGCAGCAACAUGUGAAGCACCGGAGAGGCACACGCAGCAGCCCUCCACUGUGGAAGACAGGCUUGAAUUGCACAAGGCAGCCCUCCACUCUGAAAGACAGGCUUGGAUUUCAUA
Molecule: long non-coding RNA, 301 nt
Organism: Mus musculus (house mouse)
Lineage: Eukaryota; Metazoa; Chordata; Mammalia; Rodentia; Muridae
Product: predicted gene, 42191
Exons: 3
Source: RefSeq, a predicted model, not a curated record